UGAGGAAUAUUGGUCAAUGGGCGGAAGCCUGAACCAGCCAUGCCGCGUGAAGGACUAAGGCCCUAUGGGUCGUAAACUUCUUUAGACGCAGAGCAAUAAGGGUCUCGCGAGAUCCGAUGAGAGUAUGCGUAGAAUAAGCAUCGGCUAACUCCGUGCCAGCAGCCGCGGUAAUACGGGGGAUGCGAGCGUUAUCCGGAUUUAUUGGGUUUAAAGGGUGCGUAGGCUGUUUGUCAAGUCAGAGGUGAAAGGCCGCAGCUCAACUGUGGAAUUGCCUUUGAUACUGGCAGGCUUGAAUACUGUUGCCGUGGGAGGAAUGAGUAGUGUAGCGGUGAAAUGCAUAGAUAUUACUCAGAACACCGAUUGCGAAGGCAUCUCACGAAGCA
This 383-nucleotide ribosomal RNA is filed under the name uncultured bacterium. RNAcentral describes it as "bacterial SSU rRNA". It matches the Rfam family "Bacterial small subunit ribosomal RNA", at positions 355 to 735 of the family's 1533-position model. The record is from RNAcentral.